Molecule: ribosomal RNA, 404 nt
Filed under: Pseudomonas sp.
Lineage: Bacteria; Pseudomonadati; Pseudomonadota; Gammaproteobacteria; Pseudomonadales; Pseudomonadaceae
Also listed under: 2 other names
Description: partial 16S ribosomal RNA
Rfam family: Bacterial small subunit ribosomal RNA
Source: RNAcentral
UGGGGAAUAUUGGACAAUGGGCGCAAGCCUGAUCCAGCCAUGCCGCGUGAGUGAUGAAGGCCCUAGGGUUGUAAAGCUCUUUCACCGGUGAAGAUAAUGACGGUAACCGGAGAAGAAGCCCCGGCUAACUUCGUGCCAGCAGCCGCGGUAAUACGAAGGGGGCUAGCGUUGUUCGGAUUUACUGGGCGUAAAGCGCACGUAGGCGGACUUUUAAGUCAGGGGUGAAAUCCCGGGGCUCAACCCCGGAACUGCCUUUGAUACUGGAAGUCUUGAGUAUGGCAGAGGUGAGUGGAAUUCCGAGUGUAGAGGUGAAAUUCGUAGAUAUUCGGAGGAACACCAGUGGCGAAGGCGGCUCACUGGACCAUUACUGACGCUGAGGUGCGAAAGCGUGGGGAGCAAACAGG